AUUUUGGAGGGUGGGGUCAAGAUGAUGGAGUAGGAAGACUGAGCUCAUCUCCCACCAUGAGCACACCAACAUUAACAAAUAUCUAUAGAGCAACUAUCAAUGAGAACAACCUGAAGAUGGGCAGAAAAGAUCUACACAACUAAAGAUAUAACAAGUCCACAACAAGAUGGUUAGGAGUGGUGGAGACAAGUGAGAGAAAAAUGCAAUUAAUGAAGCAUCAAUUUGUAUGUUGCUGUCAGGAGGAGGAGGAGAAGGAAAAGAGGAGGAGGAUGAAAAGAAAAAGGAAGGAAACAAUGUUUGUGCUCUUCAGUGAUGGACUCACGCAUCUAGAACAGUGCCAGGCACCAUCUGUUCCUUCCCACACAAAUCCACUGAACGAACAUCAGUGUGAUUUAUGCCCAGAAAGGCUGCCAGAGUAUAAACAUGUAAGACAGACCAACAGCAUAAAA
Molecule: non-coding RNA, 449 nt
Organism: Odocoileus virginianus texanus
Lineage: Eukaryota; Metazoa; Chordata; Mammalia; Artiodactyla; Cervidae
Source: RefSeq, a predicted model, not a curated record